AUGAACACAAUUCUUUCCCAGCCAGCAAACCCAAUCAAAGCAUCCAAAUGGAAAGCCACACAUAUCAUGACACGACAGAGAUUUUACUUAAUGGAUAACGAAACGUCAGGUAGAACAGACUACCCAGACCCAACGGACUUGACAUGGCAAGAGUACAUUCAUACGAGUUCAACAGGGGCACGACGGCCUCAAAAGUCCAUUCACUUCGUCACGGGGUGGGGUGAUACUUUGGCUGGUUAUUUAGGUGAUAACGGUUCUUGGGCCCGGCGCAUCCAUGGUCACCAGCUGGCCGUCCAGGCUCUAGCCCAUGGCGUACUUCUGCGUCCAGGAGCGCGCCGUGGACUCGUACUUGGCCCGAUCAGUCUUGUACAUGUGAGCGAUCUCGGGCACCAGAGGAUCAUCGGGGUUCGGGUCCGGGUAAUCCGGUGGGAAAUGAAUGUUCACCAAAAAUAG
Molecule: ribosomal RNA, 453 nt
Filed under: Triticum aestivum (bread wheat)
Lineage: Eukaryota; Viridiplantae; Streptophyta; Magnoliopsida; Poales; Poaceae
Description: partial small subunit ribosomal RNA
Source: RNAcentral